AACGAACGCUGGCGGCAUGCCUAACACAUGCAAGUCGAACGAGACCUUCGGGUCUAGUGGCGCACAGGUGCGUAACGCGUGGGAACCUGCCCUUAGGUUCGGAAUAACUCCCCGAAAGGGGUGCUAAUACCGGAUAAUGUCUUCGGACCAAAGAUUUAUCGCCUUUGGAUGGGCCCGCGUUGGAUUAGCUAGUUGGUAGGGUAAAAGCCUACCAAGGCGACGAUCCAUAGCUGGUCUGAGAGGAUGAUCAGCCACACUGGGACUGAGACACGGCCCAGACUCCUACGGGAGGCAGCAGUGGGGAAUAUUGGACAAUGGGCGAAAGCAUGAUCCAGCAAUGCCGCGUGAGUGAUGAAGGCCUUAGGGUUGUAAAGCUCUUUUACCCGGGAUAAUAAUGACAGUACCGGGAGAAUAAGCUCCGGCUAACUCCGUG
RNAcentral lists this ribosomal RNA (433 nucleotides) under uncultured bacterium. Its description in RNAcentral is "partial 16S ribosomal RNA". It matches the Rfam family "Bacterial small subunit ribosomal RNA", at positions 29 to 507 of the family's 1533-position model. The record is from RNAcentral.